Molecule: ribosomal RNA, 201 nt
Filed under: uncultured Carnobacteriaceae bacterium
Lineage: Bacteria; Bacillati; Bacillota; Bacilli; Lactobacillales; Carnobacteriaceae
Description: partial 16S ribosomal RNA
Rfam family: Bacterial small subunit ribosomal RNA
Source: RNAcentral
GGGAUAACAUUCGGAAACGGAUGCUAAAACCGCAUAGGUCCUUUAACCGCAUGGUUGAAGGAGGAAAAGAGGCGCAAGCUUCUGCUGAUGGAUGGACCCGCGGUGCAUUAGCUAGUUGGUGAGGUAACGGCUCACCAAGGCCGUGAUGCAUAGCCGACCUGAGAGGGUGAUCGGCCACAUUGGGACUGAGACACGGCCCAA